AGAGUCAAGGAAAUUUUGAGCCAUCUACAACUUUUAACAUUGGAUAAAUUAAACUCCUGUGAACAAAAUUUUGAAGCAUAUUUGUUUCUCUCUGCAUGGUUUCUCCAGAAUUUGGAAACUAUUUCACUUUCAGCUCUUAAAACUUCUGUUAAAGGUUUACCAUCCAGACACUGAGUAUUUUGUACAGCAGACAUGGUCCAUCAUCAGCAUAGUCUUGAAGGAAGUAUAUAACAUGGUGGAGCCAUUGCGGACAGAGACCACAUGGAAACUGUGUAGCAUCCACAUUUUCUUCCUUGUUCAGGAACCACCCUACCCAAUUCAGGAAUCAGGAAUUCCAAAGAACUUGGCUGGACAGUUCUUACUUCGAAGACUUUAACGUCCCUCACUACCUAGCAGUUGAUGCUGAUCACCAGCUGAGAACUCACCUGUGGUUCUCUGCUGGAGGCCUGACAUGACUCUCCAGGACAGUGAUCUCAGGUACUCAGACUCCUUACAUAGCAGCUAUCUUCCUUCACAGUAACCCAUGCAAGCAAAGAGAUCAUGAAGAAAUGACAUGGUCUAAUCUGACCUGUGCUCACAAGUUACACAGAGUAACUUUUACUUCAUUCUGCUGGUUACAACUGAGUCACUAAGGCUGGUCCAGGAUCAAUGUCUCUUUACAAAGGUGACGUUUUAGAAGAGAGCUGAAAGAAGAGCGGCAAAAUAUAGGUCAGUCUGGAGGAAAAGGAAUUCAGAAAAAGAUAGAAGGAGAGCAACAAAGAACAGUACUUAGAAUGUCUGUGUGCAUAAGAGGAAAUCAGAGUGCAGCAGGAAGCCCGGUCUUUAAAGGUUAUGUAAACUGAUGUAAACAAAGUAAGAUCAAAAUCAGAGGAAUACUUGAGAUGAAGACAUAUUAUGCCCAAAUUAAUGUUUUAAAUGUGUUCCUCUCCAGCAAUGAGGAAACCAGGGUGUGAGGAAACAAGAGUAUAUUCAGGGAGAUUUGUGAGGGUUUACUGCAAUCAUUCAGAUGAGAAAUGAUGAUGGCUUGAAUAAACUGAGUAUAGAGAAGGUGAUUAGAAUUAUUUGCACUCAGAAUACCCUUUCAAUGUAGAGCUGCUAGAAUUCAUUGAUGAAUUAAAUGUGAGGUCUGAGAGAAAGAAAAGGGUUCAGAAUUUUCAAGACAUCUUCCCAUAAUUUCUUCCUACAUGAAAAAAGUUGGUACUUCCUCAGAUAAGAAAUACUGUGGUUGAAG
Molecule: long non-coding RNA, 1231 nt
Organism: Callithrix jacchus (white-tufted-ear marmoset)
Lineage: Eukaryota; Metazoa; Chordata; Mammalia; Primates; Cebidae
Source: RefSeq, a predicted model, not a curated record